RNAcentral lists this transfer RNA (68 nucleotides) under Marmota monax (woodchuck). Its description in RNAcentral is "tRNA.Ala". Lineage: Eukaryota; Metazoa; Chordata; Mammalia; Rodentia; Sciuridae. The record is from RNAcentral.
GGUUGUGGCUCAGUGGUACAGCGCUUGCCUAGCAUGCACGAGGCGCUGGGUUUGAUUCCUGGUCACCA